Molecule: ribosomal RNA, 222 nt
Filed under: uncultured bacterium
Lineage: Bacteria
Description: partial 16S ribosomal RNA
Rfam family: Bacterial small subunit ribosomal RNA
Source: RNAcentral
CGAACGUACACAACCUUCCUACAAGUGGGGAAUAGCCCAGAGAAAUUUGGAUUAAUACCCCGUAACAUAUAAAGAUGGCAUCAUUUUUAUAUUAUAGCUACGGCGCUUGUUGAUGGGUGUGCGGCUGAUUAGGUAGUUGGCGGGGUAAUGGCCCACCAAGCCUGCGAUCAGUAGCUGAUGUGAGAGCAUGAUCAGCCACACGGGCACUGAGACACGGGCCCG